Molecule: long non-coding RNA, 3373 nt
Organism: Lycium barbarum (goji berry)
Lineage: Eukaryota; Viridiplantae; Streptophyta; Magnoliopsida; Solanales; Solanaceae
Exons: 5
Source: RefSeq, a predicted model, not a curated record
ACAAAUGAGUUAAAUGAGGAUUUGUAGAUAAUUGCAAGGUGACAAGAAUGUCCCCACGUGGCUUUACAGCAAGGAGCAGCAAGUGGGUAGUACAAAUUGUCAUGUUGGUGGCAUCUUUAUAGCCGAUUUCUUAGUGAUAAAGUCAUGCCUUUAAUUGUGUGGAGCCAUGGCCAUAAAUAGAGAAAUUCUUCACUUAAGCUCUCAUUUUUAGUGAUAUGGAAUUUAAUAAAAUAGGCCUGCUCUCUGCGGAGCCAUGACAAACAAAAACGAACAGAAGAUUGGUCAUGACUUUGGUCUCGUUGGUCCAUUUUCAUCACGACAAAUAUACAUUCGUUUAGUUGCUUCAAACACACGGUGCUAUCGUUAAUCUGGAAAUAUUUCAAGAUUGGUGAAACCCGAGACCUAAGUUAUGGUUAACUUGGGAAGCGACAAGCCCCAGAUUGUUUGGCAGGUUAACUGUAUAGUUAGGAUGCUUGGACGUCAGCUGGGAUUGACAAGUUCCACCUCAUUCUGGAGCUGUGCUGAGUCAUGUAUAGAUAUGCAUGAUUAUGGGUAUGUCAGGGCCCUGCCCUCACUCAUAAUGUUCAGUUUACUUCUUAGAGACUUUUGCAGACAAUGUCCUGUGGUAUGUUUGUCGAGAUGUCGACAAAGUGAUGUCAGUUGAGUCAUUUGUGGAUUUUAAAAGAGUAUGUAUUUUAGAUGAUUUUAAUUGGUUUAAAGUACUUAUUUGAUUAAAAUUUUUCAUAAUCGUUAUAAAGAUAAUGAUUUCUAUUUGGAAAAGUUUUAUAUUCUUAAAAGUUUUUGAAAUGAUAUGAUUUGAUAGAGCGAAUGUCUAAGGGUUCGCUCGACUCUGAUUAGAGUCGGGUGCCCGUCAUGCCCUAACACUGUUAGGGUGUGACAAAGUGGUAUCAGAGCAGUUCGUUCUAGGGGUUGUCUGCAAAGUCGUGUCAGGUAGAGUCUUGUUCAUCAUGGGUGUGUUGUCGACCACACUUAUGAACAGGAGGCUACAGGGAAUCUAGGAUGGUUUCCCUUCAUUCAGGCCAUAAAUUGUGCUAUAGAAUUGUGUUAUAGGCCUUGAAUCCUUGCUGCUAAUUUUAAGAUUUGAAUUUUGAUUAAGAGAUUGUAAAGUGCAGCCAUGAUUGCGAAAUUGGAAUUGUUCGUAAGAAAGAUAAGUUCUCUGAUGAUUAAUGAUUGCUAUUUGAGGUAAGUGAUGCAGGUUAAGGAUUGCAGUAAGAAAGGUAUGCUUCUUAGCGAAUUGAGAAUGCCAUUGUGAAGAGCAUUUGUACAGGUAUAUAUAGGGUGUUGUAAUAUGAUUGUGGCCCUGUGAGGCAAGUUGAUAUAUUUUGAUUGUUGCCCUGUGAGGCUUGUUGGUUAGCUGUGUACAGGUGGGUAGUACAAAUUACAAAGGAGGUUCUGCCAAAAUUUGGUUAAAAAUUGAUUGUGAUCAGUAUAUAUAUGUGUGCUAUGAGCAGUAAGAUACACAAGUGUAAACUGAAGAAUGAAAGAUUAAUAAUAGUUGUAAAUCGACUGAAAGGAGGGUUAUGAGAUGGGUUCAGAAUGAGUUUGAGAGUUAGGUUGAAAUUACUCGAGGAUAUAGACGUGAGUCGAGGGUUAAGUUAAGUUCUCUCGGGGAUUAGAAGUAAGGUUGAUGAACUAAGAUUAAUGUUAUUCGAAUAAUGUGAUAAGAUUACUGGAAGAGACAAAAGAGGGGAAGCAAUGAUAAGCAAGGAGUCAUUCGAGAAGUGAGUUAGUAUAAAAAAAAAAAAAAAAAAAAAGUAAGCUUUAACGAGUAAAGAAUGAAACAAGGAAGAGAAAGAAACAUGAUUAUAUGUGUUUGAGGAAAGGGAGUAACGUGAUAUUAGUAAGUGUUGGAAUUGGAUAUGAGUAUUAGUCUUCAUUUAACAUUCGAGGACGAAUGUUUCUAAGAGGGGAAGGAUGUUACAUCCCGUAUUCUCAUGCGUUGGAAAGUGUGCGAGUUAAAUGAUAUUAGUAAUGGAUACGAGGUUAUCCCCCAAGCUUAUAGGAGGUUAAAGUGAUGGUACACAUGUAUCGUAAGGAUUUGAAGUUAAACCAAUCGAAGAAAAUAAAUUUUGUCGAGUUUCAACAUUUAUUUGAGUGAAAUACGGUCCAAGCUAUAAUACCCCGUAUUUUUGGACUAGAACAUUUAAUCGUCCAACAUGAGCAAAUUUACCAAGCCCGGAGAAUUCGAUCAUACUCAAGGAUGAAAAUCGAGAGCUCAGUGUACAAAGAGUUUGAGGUCCCAAAAUAAUUUAGGGCUUAACAAGUGUGAUCACGGUGAUUGAGAAUAAUAUUUUAUGUGUAUCAAAAGAGACUAUGGACUAGUGCUAUAUCACAUAAUCAUGGCAAUGAAUAUAUGAAGUGCAUUAAAAAUAAUUGCUAUUAAAGUGAAUUGAGAUCAAGAAAUUAAUUAUGUGUAUAAUUGGUUAGAUGUUGGAUUUUACGUGGAGGUAUAAAAUUAAAUAAAUUGAACAAAUGCCACCUCUCCAAUACGUGGCAGUAGCUAAACAAUAUGAUAGCACUACGUUCUUAUAGUGUGAUGAGUCAAGUGCACUUGAAAGUGCAUAGUGCCACGUGGAAACAAGGAGACAAAUGAGUUAAAUGAGGAUUUGUAGAUAAUUGCAAGGUGACAAGGAUGUCCCCACGUGGCUUUACAGCAAGAAGCAGCAAGUGAGUAGUACAAAUUGUCAUGUUGGUGGCAUCUUUAUAGCCGAUUUCUUAGUGAUAAAGUCAUGUCUUUAAUUGUGUGGAGCCAUGGCCAUAAAUAGAGAUAUUCUUCACUUAAGCUCUCAUUUUUAGUGAUAUGGAAUUUAAUAAAAUAGGCCUGCUCUCUGCGGAGCCAUGACAAACAAAAACGAACAGAAGAUUGGUCACGACUUUGGUCUCGUUGGUCCAUUUUCAGCACGACAAAUAGACAUUCGUUUAGUUGCUUCAAACACGCGGUGCUAUCGUUAAUCUGGAAAUAUUUCAAGAUUGGUGAAACCGGAGACCUAAGUUAUGGUUAACUUGGGAAGCGACAAGCCCCAGAUUGUUUGGCAGGUUAAGUGUAUGGCUAGGAUGCUUGGACGUCAGCUGAGAUUGACAUGUUCCACCUCAUUCUGGAGUUGUGCUGAGUCAUGUAUAGAUAUGCAUGAUUAUGGGUAUGUCAGGGCCCUGUCCUCACUCAUAAUGUUCAGUUUACUUCUUAGAGACUUUUGCAGACAGUGUCCUGUGGUAUGUUUGUCGAGAUGUCGACAAAGUGAUGUCAAUUAAGUCAUUUGUGGAUUUUAAAAGAGUAUGUAUUUUAGAUGAUUUCAAUUGGUUUAAAGUACUUAUUUGAUUGAAAGUUUUCAUAAUCGUUAUAAAGAUACCUCGA